This 355-nucleotide transfer-messenger RNA is filed under the name Planctomycetaceae. RNAcentral describes it as "JABURQ01 sp014762625 Standard tmRNA". It matches the Rfam family "transfer-messenger RNA". From Rfam's summary of the family: Bacterial tmRNA, also known as 10Sa RNA or SsrA, is named for its dual tRNA and mRNA-like properties. Its role is to liberate the mRNA from a stalled ribosome. The record is from RNAcentral. Lineage: Bacteria; Pseudomonadati; Planctomycetota; Planctomycetia; Planctomycetales. RNAcentral also lists the same sequence under 1 other name.
GGGGGCGAUCGGCUUCGACUGGAUGACUGUAAGUUGAGGUGGCGUGUCGUGGUUGAUCAGCCGGCCACGUAAAAAGCUGAUCGAACAAUAAUUGCAAAACCUUCUUUGCAACUGGCUGCGUAACAACGCGGUCCCGGCUUAGGAAUCCUCGCCUGAGGAGUCCGACUGUCGGUUGAAAAAUCAGGCUGGCUUCUGUUCACUGCCCACCACGGCGGAAGCGAGAUUCGUUGUGGGCUGGCUGAUGGCGGCUUUGUUUAUUGAGCCAAAAUCAGUGAGAUCAAUCAAUAAAAUACACACGUAGAGGCUUCAGCCGAGGCAUCACAGGACGCGGGUUCGAUUCCCGCCGCCUCCAUUU